RNAcentral lists this transfer-messenger RNA (388 nucleotides) under Micrococcaceae. RNAcentral's name for it is "Z1-20 sp015708085 Standard tmRNA". It matches the Rfam family "transfer-messenger RNA". Rfam says of the family: Bacterial tmRNA, also known as 10Sa RNA or SsrA, is named for its dual tRNA and mRNA-like properties. Its role is to liberate the mRNA from a stalled ribosome. To accomplish this part of the tmRNA is used as a reading frame that ends in a translation stop signal. Lineage: Bacteria; Bacillati; Actinomycetota; Actinomycetes; Micrococcales. The record is from RNAcentral. RNAcentral also lists the same sequence under 1 other name.
GGGGGUGACAGGUUUCGACAUUGUCUGAUCAUUCCGGAAAGAAGCGGGUAAGGAAGCGCACGGGAAUCCUUUCAAAAAUCCGGGCACCCAGAGAUGCCAACGCAACUCGCAACGACUACGCCCUGGCCUCCUGACGGAGCCGGGACCCCAUGCGUGGUCUGUCUCAAACCGCAUCAGGCAAAUGGUUUCGGCCGCGGUUUAGGCAUCAGCAAAAAGGACACCCGAAUGACGGCAGCGCUGCGGGCCGGCAUUCGUAUCAGCAGCUAGACCGGGACGGUCCGUUGUCCGCCAUGGACUGUCCGGGUCGAUAAGCACCAAGGCGGACUACACCCGUAGAAGAGUUCGGAAUCAGACAGUGGACCCGGUUUCAAUACCGGCACCUCCACAU